Long non-coding RNA from Octodon degus (degu), 390 nucleotides. RefSeq lists it as uncharacterized. Lineage: Eukaryota; Metazoa; Chordata; Mammalia; Rodentia; Octodontidae. The transcript is spliced from 4 exons. The record is from RefSeq and is a predicted model, not a curated record.
GCUCAAAGGAACCCGGCAAAAGGGUCGUUAACCUUUUGGCGUCGCUCCGGCCUGGUCAGACAUCCAGGGUCGCCUUUCUUUGUCCUUGUCCCUGGGAAGGACAAUACUGAACCAACCUUAGCCUCUCGUGGCCGCCUAAGCAGCACUGUCUACGGGGACCGCGGGACAGCGUUUUCAAGUAGUGUGGGAGGCAGUGGUACAGCUCGGAAGCUGGAAUGGUAGGAAGAGUAAUGGCCUGAGAAGACCUGUGCCCUGCCCGGCCCCAGGCAUGACUUCGGGCCUUCUGGAAGUGGGCUCAGGAGAAAUGUACCCUGGGAACAACAGCUGGGAAGAAACAAAUUCCUGGAAGAUUCUCCAGAGACCUCUCCUUAGAAAUCAUCAGCCAGAGUG